AGCCCAGAGCCUGAAUCAGUGUGUGUGUUAGUGGAAGCGUCUGGAAAGGCGCGCGAUACAGGGUGACAGCCCCGUACACAAAAAUGCACAUGCUGUGAGCUCGAUGAGUAGGGCGGGACACGUGGUAUCCUGUCUGAAUAUGGGGGGACCAUCCUCCAAGGCUAAAUACUCCUGACUGACCGAUAGUGAACCAGUACCGUGAGGGAAAGGCGAAAAGAACCCCGGCGAGGGGAGUGAAAAAGAACCUGAAACCGUGUACGUACAAGCAGUGGGAGCACGCUUAGGCGUGUGACUGCGUACCUUUUGUAUAAUGGGUCAGCGACUUAUAUUCUGUAGCAAGGUUAACCGAAUAGGGGAGCCGAAGGGAAACCGAGUCUUAACUGGGCGUUAAGUUGCAGGGUAUAGACCCGAAACCCGGUGAUCUAGCCAUGGGCAGGUUGAAGGUUGGGUAACACUAACUGGAGGACCGAACCGACUAAUGUUGAAAAAUUAGCGGAUGACUUGUGGCUGGGGGUGAAAGGCCAAUCAAACCGGGAGAUAGCUGGUUCUCCCCGAAAGCUAUUUAGGUAGCGCCUCGUGAAUUCAUCUCCGGGGGUAGAGCACUGUUUCGGCAAGGGGGUCAUCCCGACUUACCAACCCGAUGCAAACUGCGAAUACCGGAGAAUGUUAUCACGGGAGACACACGGCGGGUGCUAACGUCCGUCGUGAAGAGGGAAACAACCCAGACCGCCAGCUAAGGUCCCAAAGUCAUGGUUAAGUGGGAAACGAUGUGGGAAGGCCCAGACAGCCAGGAUGUUGGCUUAGAAGCAGCCAUCAUUUAAAGAAAGCGUAAUAGCUCACUGGUCGAGUCGGCCUGCGCGGAAGAUGUAACGGGGCUAAACCAUGCACCGAAGCUGCGGCAGCGACACUAUGUGUUGUUGGGUAGGGGAGCGUUCUGUAAGCCUGUGAAGGUGUACUGUGAGGUAUGCUGGAGGUAUCAGAAGUGCGAAUGCUGACAUAAGUAACGAUAAAGCGGGUGAAAAGCCCGCUCGCCGGAAGACCAAGGGUUCCUGUCCAACGUUAAUCGGGGCAGGGUGAGUCGACCCCUAAGGCGAGGCCGAAAGGCGUAGUCGAUGGGAAACAGGUUAAUAUUCCUGUACUUGGUGUUACUGCGAAGGGGGGACGGAGAAGGCUAUGUUGGCCGGGCGACGGUUGUCCCGGUUUAAGCGUGUAGGCUGGUUUUCCAGGCAAAUCCGGAAAAUCAAGGCUGAGGCGUGAUGACGAGGCACUACGGUGCUGAAGCAACAAAUGCCCUGCUUCCAGGAAAAGCCUCUAAGCAUCAGGUAACAUCAAAUCGUACCCCAAACCGACACAGGUGGUCAGGUAGAGAAUACCAAGGCGCUUGAGAGAACUCGGGUGAAGGAACUAGGCAAAAUGGUGCCGUAACUUCGGGAGAAGGCACGCUGAUAUGUAGGUGAAGCGACUUGCUCGUGGAGCUGAAAUCAGUCGAAGAUACCAGCUGGCUGCAACUGUUUAUUAAAAACACAGCACUGUGCAAACACGAAAGUGGACGUAUACGGUGUGACGCCUGCCCGGUGCCGGAAGGUUAAUUGAUGGGGUCAGCGCAAGCGAAGCUCUUGAUCGAAGCCCCGGUAAACGGCGGCCGUAACUAUAACGGUCCUAAGGUAGCGAAAUUCCUUGUCGGGUAAGUUCCGACCUGCACGAAUGGCGUAAUGAUGGCCAGGCUGUCUCCACCCGAGACUCAGUGAAAUUGAACUCGCUGUGAAGAUGCAGUGUACCCGCGGCAAGACGGAAAGACCCCGUGAACCUUUACUAUAGCUUGACACUGAACAUUGAGCCUUGAUGUGUAGGAUAGGUGGGAGGCUUUGAAGUGUGGACGCCAGUCUGCAUGGAGCCGACCUUGAAAUACCACCCUUUAAUGUUUGAUGUUCUAACGUUGACCCGUGAUCCGGGUUGCGGACAGUGUCUGGUGGGUAGUUUGACUGGGGCGGUCUCCUCCUAAAGAGUAACGGAGGAGCACGAAGGUUGGCUAAUCCUGGUCGGACAUCAGGAGGUUAGUGCAAUGGCAUAAGCCAGCUUGACUGCGAGCGUGACGGCGCGAGCAGGUGCGAAAGCAGGUCAUAGUGAUCCGGUGGUUCUGAAUGGAAGGGCCAUCGCUCAACGGAUAAAAGGUACUCCGGGGAUAACAGGCUGAUACCGCCCAAGAGUUCAUAUCGACGGCGGUGUUUGGCACCUCGAUGUCGGCUCAUCACAUCCUGGGGCUGAAGUAGGUCCCAAGGGUAUGGCUGUUCGCCAUUUAAAGUGGUACGCGAGCUGGGUUUAGAACGUCGUGAGACAGUUCGGUCCCUAUCUGCCGUGGGCGCUGGAGAACUGAGGGGGGCUGCUCCUAGUACGAGAGGACCGGAGUGGACGCAUCACUGGUGUUCGGGUUGUCAUGCCAAUGGCACUGCCCGGUAGCUAAAUGCGGAAGAGAUAAGUGCUGAAAGCAUCUAAGCACGAAACUUGCCCCGAGAUGAGUUCUCCCUGACUCCUUGAGAGUCCUGAAGGAACGUUGAAGACGACGACGUUGAUAGGCCGGGUGUGUAAGCGCAGCGAUGCGUUGAGCUAACCGGUACUAAUGAACCGUGAGGCUUAACCUU
This 2639-nucleotide ribosomal RNA is filed under the name Escherichia coli. RNAcentral's name for it is "partial 23S ribosomal RNA". It matches the Rfam family "Bacterial large subunit ribosomal RNA", at positions 296 to 2925 of the family's 2925-position model. Lineage: Bacteria; Pseudomonadati; Pseudomonadota; Gammaproteobacteria; Enterobacterales; Enterobacteriaceae. The record is from RNAcentral.